RNAcentral lists this ribosomal RNA (407 nucleotides) under uncultured bacterium. RNAcentral describes it as "bacterial SSU rRNA". It matches the Rfam family "Bacterial small subunit ribosomal RNA", at positions 32 to 423 of the family's 1533-position model. The record is from RNAcentral.
AAUCAACGCUGGCGGCGUGCCUAACACAUGCAAGUCGAACGCGAAAGUCCCGCAAGGGAUCAGUAGAGUGGCAAACGGGUGAGUAACGCGUGGGUGACCUGCCUUCGAGCGGGGGAUAACGUUCCGAAAGGGACGCUAAUACCGCAUAACAUCCUGCCUUUGAAGAGGUAGAGAUCAAAGCUGGGGAUCGCAAGACCUGGCACUUGAAGAGGGGCCCGCGUCUGAUAGCUAGUUGGUGAGGUAACGGCUCACCAAGGCGACGAUCAGUAUCCGGCCUGAGAGGGCGGACGGACACACUGGGACUGAGACACGGCCCAGACUCCUACGGGAGGCAGCAGUGGGGAAUUGUUCGCAAUGGGCGCAAGCCUGACGACGCAACGCCGUGUGGAGGAUGAAGAUUUUCGGAU